RNAcentral lists this ribosomal RNA (266 nucleotides) under Escherichia coli. RNAcentral describes it as "partial 16S ribosomal RNA". It matches the Rfam family "Bacterial small subunit ribosomal RNA", at positions 1 to 261 of the family's 1533-position model. The record is from RNAcentral. Lineage: Bacteria; Pseudomonadati; Pseudomonadota; Gammaproteobacteria; Enterobacterales; Enterobacteriaceae.
UUAAAUUGAAGAGUUUGAUCAUGGCUCAGAUUGAACGCUGGCGGCAGGCCUAACACAUGCAAGUCGAACGGUAACAGGAAUCAGCUUGCUGAUUCGCUGACGAGUGGCGGACGGGUGAGUAAUGUCUGGGAAACUGCCUGAUGGAGGGGGAUAACUACUGGAAACGGUAGCUAAUACCGCAUAACGUCGCAAGACCAAAGAGGGGGACCUUCGGGCCUCUUGCCAUCGGAUGUGCCCAGAUGGGAUUAGCUAGUAGGUGGGGUAAC